This 207-nucleotide ribosomal RNA is filed under the name uncultured bacterium. RNAcentral describes it as "partial 16S ribosomal RNA". It matches the Rfam family "Bacterial small subunit ribosomal RNA", at positions 568 to 774 of the family's 1533-position model. The record is from RNAcentral.
CACGUAGGCGGAUCUUUAAGUCGGUGGUGAAAUCCUGGAGCUCAACUCCAGAACUGCCUUCGAUACUGAGGAUCUCGAGUCCGGGAGAGGUGAGUGGAACUGCGAGUGUAGAGGUGAAAUUCGUAGAUAUUCGCAAGAACACCAGUGGCGAAGGCGGCUCACUGGCCCGGUACUGACGCUGAGGUGCGAAAGCGUGGGGAGCAAACA